RNAcentral lists this ribosomal RNA (253 nucleotides) under uncultured bacterium. RNAcentral describes it as "partial 16S ribosomal RNA". It matches the Rfam family "Bacterial small subunit ribosomal RNA", at positions 524 to 776 of the family's 1533-position model. The record is from RNAcentral.
UACGUAGGGUGCAAGCGUUAAUCGGAAUUACUGGGCGUAAAGCGUGCGCAGGCGGUUAUGUAAGACAGGUGUGAAAUCCCCGGGCUUAACCUGGGAACUGCAUUUGUGACUGCAUAGCUAGAGUACGGUAGAGGGGGAUGGAAUUCCGCGUGUAGCAGUGAAAUGCGUAGAUAUGCGGAGGAACACCGGUGGCGAAGGCGGCCUACUGGGCCAGCACUGACGCUGAGGCGCGAAAGCUCGGGGAGCGAACGGG